UACGGAGGGUGCGAGCGUUGUCCGGAUUUACUGGGCGUAAAGAGCGCGUAGGCGGCUCGUUAAGUGUGAAGUGAAAUCUCUAGGGCUCAACCCAGAAACUGCUUUACAUACUGGCGAGCUGGAGUGAUGCAGAGGUUUGUGGAAUUCCUGGUGUAACGGUGAAAUGCGCAGAUAUCAGGAGGAACACCGGUGGCGAAGGCGGAUCUCUGGGCCUUACCUGACGCUGAGGCGCGAAAGCUAGGGGAGCGAACAGG
RNAcentral lists this ribosomal RNA (254 nucleotides) under uncultured bacterium. RNAcentral describes it as "partial 16S ribosomal RNA". It matches the Rfam family "Bacterial small subunit ribosomal RNA", at positions 524 to 776 of the family's 1533-position model. The record is from RNAcentral.